This 708-nucleotide ribosomal RNA is filed under the name bacterium. Its description in RNAcentral is "bacterial SSU rRNA". It matches the Rfam family "Bacterial small subunit ribosomal RNA", at positions 801 to 1533 of the family's 1533-position model. The record is from RNAcentral.
CUAUGAGUCUUUUGGAGGUUGUGCCCUUGAGGCGUGGCUUCCGGAGCUAACGCGUUAAAUAGACCGCCUGGGGAGUACGGCCGCAAGGUUAAAACUCAAAUGAAUUGACGGGGGCCCGCACAAGCGGUGGAGCAUGUGGUUUAAUUCGAUGCAACGCGAAGAACCUUACCUGGUCUUGACAUCCACAGAAUUUCUCAGAGAUGACGAGGUGCCUUCGGGAACUGUGAGACAGGUGCUGCAUGGCUGUCGUCAGCUCGUGUUGUGAAAUGUUGGGUUAAGUCCCGCAACGAGCGCAACCCUUAUCCUUUGUUGCCAGCGAUUCGGUCGGGAACUCAAAGGAGACUGCCAGUGAUAAACUGGAGGAAGGUGGGGAUGACGUCAAGUCAUCAUGGCCCUUACGACCAGGGCUACACACGUGCUACAAUGGCAUAUACAAAGAGAAGCGACCUCGCGAGAGCAAGCGGACCUCAUAAAGUAUGUCGUAGUCCGGAUUGGAGUCUGCAACUCGACUCCAUGAAGUCGGAAUCGCUAGUAAUCGUGGAUCAGAAUGCCACGGUGAAUACGUUCCCGGGCCUUGUACACACCGCCCGUCACACCAUGGGAGUGGGUUGCAAAAGAAGUAGGUAGCUUAACCUUCGGGAGGGCGCUUACCACUUUGUGAUUCAUGACUGGGGUGAAGUCGUACAAAGGUAACCGAAGAGUUUGAUC